UGCGGAGGGAUCAUUACACAAAUAUGAAGGCGGGCUGGAAUCUCUCGGGGUUACAGCCUUGCUGAAUUAUUCACCCUUGUCUUUUGCGUACUUCUUGUUUCCUUGGUGGGUUCGCCCACCACUAGGACAAACAUAAACCUUUUGUAAUUGCAAUCAGCGUCAGUAACAAAUUAAUAAUUACAACUUUCAACAACGGAUCUCUUGGUUCUGGCAUCGAUGAAGAACGCAGCGAAAUGCGAUAAGUAGUGUGAAUUGCAGAAUUCAGUGAAUCAUCGAAUCUUUGAACGCACAUUGCGCCCUUUGGUAUUCCAAAGGGCAUGCCUGUUCGAGCGUCAUUUGUACCCUCAAGCUUUGCUUGGUGUUGGGCGUCUUGUCUCUAGCUUUGCUGGAGACUCGCCUUAAAGUAAUUGGCAGCCGGCCUACUGGUUUCGGAGCGCAGCACAAGUCGCACUCUCUAUCAGCAAAGGUCUAGCAUCCAUUAAGCCUUUUUUUCAACUUUUGACCUCGGAUCAGGUAGGGAUACCCGCUGAACUUAAGCAUAUC
RNAcentral lists this ribosomal RNA (543 nucleotides) under Alternaria alternata. RNAcentral's name for it is "eukaryotic LSU rRNA". The stretch from base 182 to 335 matches the Rfam family "5.8S ribosomal RNA". Lineage: Eukaryota; Fungi; Ascomycota; Dothideomycetes; Pleosporales; Pleosporaceae. The record is from RNAcentral.